GACCCCAUCGUCUAGCCCGGCCCAGGACAAAGCCCUUUCAAGGCUUGAACGCGGGUUCGAAUCCCGCUGGGGUCG
RNAcentral lists this transfer RNA (75 nucleotides) under Pseudomonadota bacterium. RNAcentral's name for it is "tRNA-Glu". It matches the Rfam family "tRNA". Rfam says of the family: Transfer RNA (tRNA) molecules are approximately 80 nucleotides in length. RNAcentral also lists the same sequence under 3 other names. The record is from RNAcentral. Lineage: Bacteria; Pseudomonadati; Pseudomonadota.